UAAUUGGGGCAACUGGUGAGCUUGUUCAUGCUGAUACUAACAAGGGUGCCGUACCGAUUUACAGCCUGUGUAAUUUUUAGGGAGAGGCUUAAACAUCUCACGGGAACUUGGCCGGAGCAGUGUUGAAUAUCUAGGGGAAACCCGGAUUAAUACCCCAUGGUACCGCAAGGUUAAAGGUGGCCAGCAAUGGCUGCCGCUGGAGGAUUGGUUCGCGCCCUAUCAGCUUGUUGGUGAGGUAACGGCUCACCAAGGCUACGACGGGUACCUGGUCUGAGAGGACGAUCAGGCACACUGGAACUGAGACACGGUCCAGACACCUACGGGUGGCAGCAGUCGAGAAUAAUUCACAAUGGACGAAAGUCUGAUGGUGCAACGCCGCGUGGAGGAUGACGGUCUUCGGAUUGUAAACUCCUGUCAUCUGGGAGAAAGACCUGGGAGUUAAUAGCUCACAGGGUUGAUAGUACCAGAAGAGGAAGGGACGGCUAACUUCGUGCCAGCAGCCGCGGUAAUACGAAGGUCCCAAGCGUUGUUCGGAAUCACUGGGCGUAAAGGGAGCGUAGGCGGCGCGGUAAGUCGGAUGUGAAAUCCCGAGGCUCAACCUCGGAACUGCAUCUGAUACUGCCGUGCUAGAGUAAUGGAGGGGUAGCUGGAAUUUCUCGUGUAGCAGUGAAAUGCGUAGAUAUCGAGAGGGACACUCUGUGCGAAAGCGAGCUACUGGACAAUUACUGACGCUGAGGCUCGAGGCUAGGGGAGCGAAAGGGAUUAAAACCCCUUGAGUCCUAC
Molecule: ribosomal RNA, 783 nt
Filed under: uncultured Verrucomicrobiales bacterium
Lineage: Bacteria; Pseudomonadati; Verrucomicrobiota; Verrucomicrobiia; Verrucomicrobiales
Description: bacterial SSU rRNA
Rfam family: Bacterial small subunit ribosomal RNA
Source: RNAcentral